This 817-nucleotide long non-coding RNA is filed under the name Salmo salar (Atlantic salmon). Its description in RNAcentral is "lncRNA (ENSSSAG00000102028.1)". The record is from RNAcentral. Lineage: Eukaryota; Metazoa; Chordata; Actinopteri; Salmoniformes; Salmonidae.
GUAAUAACAUGACCAUAUACAGGGAGUACCAGUACUGAGUCAAUGUUCAGGGGUACGAGGUAAUAACAUGGCUAUAUACAGGGAGUACCAGUACUGAGUCGAUGUGCAGGGGUACGAGGUAAUAACAUGGCUAUAUACAGGGAGUACCAGUACUGAGUCGAUGAGCAGGGGUACGAGGUAAUAACAUGGCUAUAUACAGGGAGUACCAGUACUGAGUCGAUGAGCAGGGGUUCGAAGUAAUAACAUGGCUAUAUACAGGGAGUACCAGUACUGAGUCGAUAUAGGUAGGGGUAGGGGUAAAGUGACUAGACAACAGGAUAGAUAAUAGACAGUAGCAGCAGUAUACUGUAGGUAGGGUUAGUGACUAGACAACAGGAUAGAUAAUAGACAGUAACAGCAGUAUACUGUAGGUAGGGUUAGUGACUAGACAACAGGAUAGAUAAUAGACAGUAGCAGCAGUAUACUGUAGGUAGGGGUAAAGUGACUAGGUAACAGGAUAGAUAAUAGACAGUAGCAGCAGUAUACUGUAGGUAGGGGUAAAGUGACUAGGUAACAGGAUAGAUAAUAGACAGUAACAGCAGUACACUGUAGGUAGGGUUAGUGACUAGACAACAGGAUAGAUAAUAGACAGUAACAGCAGUAUACUGUAGGUAGGGGUAAAGUGACUAGGUAACAGGAUAGAUAAUAGACAGUAACAGCAGUAUACUGUAGGUAGGGGUAAAGUGACUAGGUAACAGGAUAGAUAAUAGACAGUAACAGCAGUAUACUGUAGGUAGGGUUAGUGACUAGACAACAGGAUAGAUAAUAGACAGUAACA